RNAcentral lists this ribosomal RNA (274 nucleotides) under uncultured bacterium. Its description in RNAcentral is "partial 16S ribosomal RNA". It matches the Rfam family "Bacterial small subunit ribosomal RNA", at positions 523 to 796 of the family's 1533-position model. The record is from RNAcentral.
ACACGUACUGUGCGAACGUUGUUCGGAAUUACUGGGCUUAAAGGGUGCGUAGGCGGACAGUCAAGUCGGGUGUGAAAUCCCUCGGCUCAACCGAGGAACUGCGCCCGAAACUAAUUGGCUUGAGUGAGAUAGGGGUGUGCGGAACUUCCAGUGGAGCGGUGAAAUGUGUUGAUAUUGGAAGGAACACCGGUGGCGAAAGCGGCACACUGGGUCUCAACUGACGCUGAGGCACGAAAGCCAGGGGAGCGAACGGGAUUAGAAACCCCAGUAGUCC